RNAcentral lists this ribosomal RNA (497 nucleotides) under uncultured bacterium. RNAcentral's name for it is "partial 16S ribosomal RNA". It matches the Rfam family "Bacterial small subunit ribosomal RNA", at positions 28 to 507 of the family's 1533-position model. The record is from RNAcentral.
GAUGAACGCUGGCGGCGUGCCUAAUACAUGCAAGUCGAGCGAACGGACGAGAAGCUUGCUUCUCUGAUGUUAGCGGCGGACGGGUGAGUAACACGUGGAUAACCUACCUAUAAGACUGGGAUAACUUCGGGAAACCGGAGCUAAUACCGGAUAAUAUUUUGAACCGCAUGGUUCAAAAGUGAAAGACGGUCUUGCUGUCACUUAUAGAUGGAUCCGCGCUGCAUUAGCUAGUUGGUAAGGUAACGGCUUACCAAGGCAACGAUGCAUAGCCGACCUGAGAGGGUGCUCGGCCACACUGGAACUGAGACACGGUCCCGACUCCUACGGGAGGCAGCAGUAGGGAAUCUUCCGCAAUGGGCGAAAGCCUGACGGAGCAACGCCGCGUGAGUGAUGAAGGUCUUCGGCUCGUAAAACUCUGUUAUUAGGGAAGAACAUAUGUGUAAGUAACUGUGCACAUCUUGACGGUACCUAAUCAGAAAGCCACGGCUAACUACGUG